This 301-nucleotide ribosomal RNA is filed under the name uncultured bacterium. Its description in RNAcentral is "partial 16S ribosomal RNA". It matches the Rfam family "Bacterial small subunit ribosomal RNA", at positions 509 to 808 of the family's 1533-position model. The record is from RNAcentral.
CAGUCGCCGCGGUAAUACGUAGGGUGCAAGCGUUAAUCGGAAUUACUGGGCGUAAAGCGUGCGCAGGCGGUUAUAUAAGACAGAUGUGAAAUCCCCGGGCUCAACCUGGGAACUGCAUUUGUGACUGUAUAGCUAGAGUACGGCAGAGGGGGAUGGAAUUCCGCGUGUAGCAGUGAAAUGCGUAGAUAUGCGGAGGAACACCGAUGGCGAAGGCAAUCCCCUGGGCCUGUACUGACGCUCAUGCACGAAAGCGUGGGGAGCAAACAGGAUUAGAACCCGAGUAGUCCUUGUCUCUUAUACC